This 101-nucleotide small nuclear RNA is filed under the name Nannospalax galili (Upper Galilee mountains blind mole rat). Lineage: Eukaryota; Metazoa; Chordata; Mammalia; Rodentia; Spalacidae. The record is from RNAcentral.
UCACUUUGGCAGUGCAUGUAUUAAAACUGAAAUGAUGCAGAAAAGUUUGGCAUGAUCCCUGAGCCAAGAUGACAGAAACUCAUGAGGUACUUUUAUUUUUG